ACAAAACAGAAGAGGUCAAGACGACAAUACAGAAGCGGGGAGGGGGAGCGAGUGUGGUGGCUACUCCUGCUUGUCAGCUCGACUACAGCUGGAAUGAACUACAUACAGUCCAGAAAUGGAGGGCACACCUGUGAUCCUGAGGCCGGAAGACCCAGGCUUCUGACCCGGAUCAUGACAUGGGAUAACACAGGCUUUUGAACCAGAUCUUGAGGUAUAGUGGCCAUAAGAAGCUUAAGCCCAGGGAAGGGAGCACACACUGGGCCUGUUUCUGCUGGAGGCCCACAUGAGGACCUUGGAAGAAGGAAGACUCCCUCUUCUUCGCCUGUUUGCACUUCCUUGCCAGCACAUCUGCUGGAACCUACCUCUUCAGCAUUCCAGCUUAUACAGAAGACCAGUGAAACAACUGGCCUGGUGGGACUGAGCGGCUACUAGACUCUUGGGACUUCCCAUUCGCAGCUGCCCACUGUUGGGUUAAUUGGAUUGUAGACUUGCUGCCUUUGACAGAGAUGACAUGCUUAUACCAUGCGGGUGGCACGAAGCUGUGAAGUGGUGAUGACGGGGAUGAGCUUGGACAUCCUACGAGAGUGGCAAAGGUGAAGCAAGCCCAGGUGCUGGCUGUGCAAGGCCUCAUUUAAGAUAAUGGCUGUGAAUAAGACAAUUACUUUGGCAACAGGAAGAAUUCUUCAUAGAAGCAACAUGUGAUAGUAAAUAGCAAGAAGCACAGAACAUGGAAGGCCUUAGAAAGAUGAAUUCAAGUUCUAGUGCCAACAAGUGCUAAAAUAUGUGACUACAACUGUAAUCCAGGGGCUUAAUCAAGAGCCUGUAAGCCUUCCUCAUUCGUGAAAAGGACUCAGUUGACAAGAACGACAGACAACCAAACACAAUGUACUAGAAGCUAGUCAAAUCUUUUCCUCAGGGAGCUUUUCACUGUAAACUUGUUCUGGGUUGAAGCAAGAUGGAUUGCCUACUAGUGUGAGGUGGAAGAGCGUAUUAAAAUUUACAUGGAGUCAAAGAUGUGGAUUUUCAAUUCCAAGUAGGAAAAAAAAAGUCAAAGAGAUUAAGCCACUGGAUAAUAAAAAAAAUCAAUAAGAAAUUAUAUUUAAGAUAUAUAAGUUCUAGUAUUAAGAGCCAACUGUCUUUUUUUUUUAACAAUUUACAACCAAAAAUAAAAAAAAUUAAAAUAAAAAAUAAAAAAUUUUUGGGCCAGGUCAGGCCACUCUGUUCCAGUUUCAAAGAAACCUUGGAGCGAGAGAGCGAGAGACUGAACCAAAACUCACUGUGGCCCACGGGCUGGCCUUGAACUUGCAGACCCUCUGGUUCAACCAAUGCCAGGAGAGCCUUUUCAAAAGACUGCUUAUAUAAAACCAAGGAAGAGUUUUGGAUGUGAGCCUGUUAACUAUUUUCUUGGUACUCUUAAAUUAAAAAUUAAUCAGAAAUGUUCCUAAGGAUUUUAGCUUAAACAUUAGAUGAAGACAUCAUCCUCGCACAGUUACCCAACUCAAUUCCACCUAAGAAGUUACAAGAGUGCACUCAAAGUAAUAAAACAAGUCUAUACAGGAGCCCAGUGAGAUGUGCACUCCUACUUAAGGGUACUGUUUGGUGAAAAGUACUAUCUACUUCUCUAGAUACAACAUGGUUACCUGUAACCCCUUCUAGGGAGCUGAAGAUAGGGUAGGGAGUGGAGGGUCUUUCUUGGAACUGACUUUUCUAAUCUCACUACUCCUUUCUCAGCUGGCUGUUGAGUUCGCCUAAAGACAUCCCUGGAUCAAGCCUUUCUCUCAGGCCCCCAAACUCAGAAAUCCUCCUUCACACAACCUAUUCGGUUGCUAUUAACAUACGGUUUCUAAGCCACAAAGAGAGUCUGCGUGGAGGAGAAAGAAAGAACGAGAGGGCUUGUGUGUGUGUGUGUGUGUGUGUGUGUAUGUCCCGUGACUGAUCAAUUCGGGU
Long non-coding RNA from Mus musculus (house mouse), 1947 nucleotides. RefSeq annotates it as predicted gene, 51983. The record is from RefSeq and is a predicted model, not a curated record. Lineage: Eukaryota; Metazoa; Chordata; Mammalia; Rodentia; Muridae. The transcript is spliced from 3 exons.